Long non-coding RNA from Strigops habroptila (Kakapo), 6470 nucleotides. RefSeq lists it as uncharacterized. Lineage: Eukaryota; Metazoa; Chordata; Aves; Psittaciformes; Psittacidae. The record is from RefSeq and is a predicted model, not a curated record. The transcript is spliced from 6 exons.
CCUCGGCCCGGCGCCUCUUUCUCAUAAUUGUGCGACUCGGCCGGCAGAGAGCCGCGGCGCUGCCGCGUCAGCGCGACCCGCCCCCGGGAGGAGGGGGACGCCGGGGCGGUGCUCACCGCCCCUCAGCCGCAUGUGGCGCUGGGGCCCCCGCCGGGCGCGGUCGGGGAUGGGGGCGCGGGGGCCGGCCUCCACCUUCCCACACGGAGUGGGAGUCCCUGAAUGAGCGCAAGUGGGUGCCAGGCGGCCGUGUCCCCUUUGUGCUGUUCGUGAGGUAAAGGCCAAAGAGACGUUGAACACGAGGCUUCCCGGGACAGAAACCCGCCUGCCUGGAAACGCGUGGUUCGAAGGGGCGUCAUCAUUUGUUGGUACUGUUGUGACAGGAUGGUGAACCAUGACAGUAAUACCUCUUCAGCCUCUGAAGCUUGUGACCCUGACAAAAGCAUCACUUGGUCCUGCAGAGGCUUGCUGUUCCAUUUCUUAGGAAAAAAGGAAUUUUCAGAAACUUCUUCAUAACUAUUUAACUUUGGCAGAUACUGGGCCUGACAAAGAGCAGAACAACACAUCAGAAGACAAGUUUUCAGUCUGCUAUUGGAACACUGAGGGAGGAUCAUCUAACAGCUGGCAUAGAGAGGGUAGUUUUGGUAAGCAUUUUUGCAAAAUGUUUUCCUGUUAAACUGACAAGAUGCUUCCAGAAGAAGAGUUAACACUAUUUGCAACAAUUCAGCAUAUCCCAAAGUCAAAGAUUCUUCUCUUCAUCCUACAACAAGGUUCUCGGGACAACCUCAUCCUCAAAGCCCCAGCAGAAGCUGCAGGAAUCUUUACGACAAGCAGCAAGAUGAACGCACCAUGCUAAAAUCAUGGUGCAAAGUUAUUUCAGGCCUCAAAAGAGCCAGAGCAAUCAGACCGUACAUUGUGGAGGGCUGAUGAACAUUUAGAAGCUUUUCUUCCACACCUGAGUUCCUGACAGUUUUUAAGGGGAAGAGGGAUGCACAGUGUCAAAAUGGGUUAAAAGUAAAUGGUUUUUAGUUACAAAGCUAUCUCCUAACAUGGUGAACUACCAAAAACCAAAAAAAAACCCCACAACCAAACCCCCCAAACCGCACACACAGAGCGAAACUAGAAAUGGCAAAACAUACUCCUUCCUGUAAAAGAGUACACAGCACCUAUGCAUAUACUUGCCUACAAGAUUCACUCUGAUGUUGUUGCAUUCACAUAAUUCUUAACAACCUAUAGCUAUGAUUAAUGCAAGUAUCUAAAAAUGUGAUCUAAAAUGACAGUACUGACAGCAGGUGCAUGCUGUGUAACACGCCAAUGACAAAUCUGUUGAUUUAUUACUUCAAAGAGAGAUAAGAAAGCUUGCUGAACACUUCAAACUGACAGACUCUAAAAAGUUGCUGGACUAUUCUACCUACAAGACUUCAAAGUUGCAUUAGUCCACUACAUUUUUCAUGGUGUUACUAAAAUGAUUUCAUAGACUUUACUGAUACAAAAACCAAAUAGUAUUUCUAAAUUAAAUAAAUAACUGGGAAGUAAGUAUCAAAUUAGUUUAUCAUGCAGGCAUAAAUGAGAAGUAUAAGCAAUCCAGAAAACCUAGAAAAAAAACUUUAUUAAACGCUUCUUGGCAGCAACAUCUCCUACAUUUGGUGGUAGGAAAGUUGGUAGAUUACUCUCCCCAGAAAUCCCUGUGCUUCAGUAAAUAAUUAAAAUGUUUUUCUGUGCAACAACUCAUUACAGCUCAAGACUACUCCAUAAUAAAGCCACAUAUGGCCUAACUAGAAUUCAAGACUGCAUCAUUAUGCAGAAACAGAAAUGCUCCCAGCUAAGAAUUAUGGGACCUCAGAGCUAUCUUAGGGAGUCAAGGAUUUCCCACAUGUAUAAAGUAGAAACUUAAAAACUGGUUUUAACAAUCGUAUCCAAGAACUUGAGUGCACACAGCAGGACAGGAGAAUCUUAUGUUAUAAAAAUACAGUCUGGCCAUCUGAGUUUAAUUUGCAUUCAACCGCUCCCACUUCCUAAUCUCUUCUUGGGUUUGUAUCUAAUUUACUUAUUAUUAAGGCUUUUUAAUGAGACUUAAAUUGUUAAAGUACUCUUUAUUAGAAGAAAGAGGGUAAUGAGAAAAGUACUUUUCAGUUCAGAAUUUAAGACACGCAGAGUUCACCAUCUCAAACUGUUUUCAGUGUAAUGGACAGACAAGCUAUGCUUUAUAAGCAGAUGGAUAACUGGACUGCCGACUAUAAUUCAAGAUUAGAUUUAAACACUGAAAUUCUGCAAGAAUAUGACAUUUGAAAGCUUGCAUUGCUCUCUCCAUGCUGUGCUUGAGACAGUAGACAGCUGAAUACCAUCAGUGUUAGCAGUCAUGAUCUAUAGCCUAAGAUUAAACCCCUCACUGCAGUCUAGAAGCUGUGCAGCGGAAGGACCACAAAAGCUGGCCCGAAUCCUUGCUCCCCAUCCCACUUCAAGCACUACAGACAGCACAGGAUAAGUGUACUGUUGAGUAGUAAGAUGACAGAGGGACUGUAGACAUGGUACUAAAGACAAAUCAUAAUGCUGAACAUUGUAAUAGAGGACAACAAAAUUGUGACGAGCACUAAGCAGUUUUUCAUGUCAAUGCAGUGGCACAGAAAAAUUAGGUGAAGGACUUCCAUAUAGGCAGAGAAACUAAAACUAAUUCUAAGUAUUUGAAGACACUGCUAGGGAUUUGGGAAAUUACAGUGUAGAGAGGCAUACAAAGCCUGCCUUCAGGCUUAGGAAUCAUGGUUCCAUUGCUACUUAACUUUUCCCGUAUGCCUUUCAAGAAAGAAAGAAAAUCCAACCCCAACACCUACGCGCGAAAUGAGAUUUAUAGCUUGUCUUCAUUGCUACCCUCUUCUAUUUAAUUACUCAGAAAAAAAUUAAAAAGAUAGACUCAUAAAGGAAAAGAUGAAGCAGAGGGGAAAAAAGAAACCAUAAGAUGAUUAAUAAAGUUGCAUUAAAAGAAGGCCAUAAUCACACCUUGUAGCAAAGGCGUCCUGGAGGAGUCCGAUACCUAAAUAAAAUUCAUUCCAUUAUUAAAAUCAUACACAACAAAAAUCAGAAAAACCCAAAACUCAAAAAAGCUAACUAAUGGUCUAUAAGUAAACAGCAGCAUUCAUGAAGUUUAGUCACCUGAUAGACCAUACAUGCUCUUGUUCCCCUAUUCUUAUGACGCUUUGCUCUAGCAAGUCUGCAACGUUUCUCUGUUUCCAUGAGGACAAAACAAACCUCUACAGAAGUCUGGCCACCCUUGUCAAUGGGGCAGCUCUGCUCCAGUCCAAAUGAUCCUUGCUGUAGUAAAAGAUAGCCUUUUGUCAGCUUUCUAUAUCUUUGCUCCUCAGAAGGAGCAAUUAAAGCUGGAGAUUUCAACCCUGGGGUUGUAUGCAUGGUUGGUUUGGGGAGGUUUUUUGCAUGUUUGUUUUUAAGUUCAGUAAGAACAGUUCAAAAUACAGCUUCAGGAGAAAGAUCAGCACUGCAGCAUUCUGAGAGUGCAACUUGAAUAACACCCUCUGGAAAAAAAUAAUAUAGAAAAUGUUCUUCAGAAAGUUACAGAAAAAUAGGAGUCAGUAAAGUUACACAGAGGUGUUCAACCACAAACAAGUCUAACUUGGGGGUUGUGGAGUGGGGGUUCUCUCUGGCACAUUUUAAGUUGUGCCAGAAAUGAAGCCGUCUGACUGCAAAACAAGCUGAAGUUGAUUAGUUUUAAUCCUUCAAGAAACCAGUUGAGAGGACAUGAAAUAACUACUAUGGCAACAUAAUUCUUCCAAGUAUGAGUUUUGCUAUGAGAAGUGCAAGAAAUUUUUCUCACUAAAGAGUAUUGCCAAAUCUACUCAGGCCACUCUUACUCAGAACUCAACUGAGAAAAAUAAAUUGCAAAGUUCCACCCCCCAACAGACACGGAGUUACUGGGUGUCGUAUCUGUGACACUCUGUUUUAAAACAGCAGUCACCAAUUUCUGUACAAACGCAUGGUAAGCCAAAUUCAUUCUGACCUACAAAGAAACAUUUCCAUUUGCUGAACCUAUGAAAGGAGGAGAGUUGGUUCUGUAGACAAAAAGACAGGAUAUCUAGUUAAAGCUGAAGGUCUCCUGAGUAAUUGCAUACCUAGCCAACCUCCAGCUGAAGCAGGUGUAGAGUAUUAGUCAGAUCAACAAAAGGUAGUUUUGAUAACACUGAAUACUGAUAGUACUAUAGAAGCUGCAUGCCUGCAGUUCUACAUUUACAAGAAUUACCACCACCUUGACUUAAACCUUGCAAUGCAGAAUUUGAAAAGGCAGGAGCUGCUUCCUUCCACCAUCAACUUCACAUCACCCGCUUCUGGCAACAGACUACCCAUUCUCUGAGCUGAGUUCCACAUAGCCUAAAUACAGGUGAUAGUUUCUGAAUUGAAACAAUAUUGGACUUCAGGUCUCAAAGCAAGAUCUAGAGUAACCUCAAGACUGGCCUGUCUUAUGAUAAAUGCCAGCUCACAGGAGCUACUGGCACACUCUGUUACGACAGCAAGUCAAAUCAGGGGGAAUGUGCACAUGUCAAGAGGCAGAGGCAGAUAGCUGGUGGGAUUCAAGGACUGCAAUUCCUGGGUAAUGUUAGAAAUAACCAAAGGGGAAAUGCAGAAUACCCAUGGCAGCGUGCACACUGCUGUGAUAGAAAACAGUUCUAUAACCACCCAGCUAUUUUGUUGCUGAAUGAUUCAUAUAAUCCUGAUUAUGCAGGAAAGUUUCUAAAAUUGUAGCUGAUCAACUUACCUGAACUGUCUCUUAAUAGAGGACUAGUGCAAACUGUAAUCUGCAUGCUUAGUUCAGUGACUCAUGUUAUACCACAUCAAGAUGACAGUUGAGGAAUCUUAAAACAUGAAAAAAAACAUUCCAAAGAAAAUAGGACAAAUUACUUUUUCUAUGAGUACUGAACCAGCUAUUUCAUCUCCCUUAAGCUUUGUUCUGCCUUGCUCACUACUAGACUAAGAUUUUCUAAGCAUAAAGACUAUUUUUCCUUAUUAGUUCCAGAAGAUAACAUGAAGACUAGCAAAAAAUGGAUUACAGGCGAUACAUUACCAAGUACUUCUAGAAGCAGACACUCAAAGGAAUUAACUACAACAUAUUCAGCCUACCUGGUAACUGCUUCCUUUCCAGAACUUCUUCAUCUCUUUGCGCCUCCAAGCAACAAGUGAGCUAGUGAUGAGUGUACAUGGGACAAGAUAGAGAAGGGCAGGUUGUCCCAUCUUCAUUAAUGCCAAAACAACGAAGGUCAGCACCAUACCAAUGGCAUAAGCUAUAAAAAGAUAUUUAUAUGCACACAAUCAAGAACAGGUGAUUUUUUAAAUUCAGUCAUUUAUUUAGUAAGCCAGAAUUAUUAUUUAAGUAAUAUCUUCCCUUAUUAAUAUAAGUGAAGAAAAGAUGGACAGUAGGUUACUCUGUAUUUGCAAGCUUUCUCUAAGCAACUGACUACCAUAAAGAAUGCUCACCUUAAAUAUGGGCAGGCACAUUAAAAAGAGAUCAUAAAAAGAUUCUUGGCAACAUUGAACCUUUACCCGAAGAAAACUACCUGGUUAUGCCAUUUAAAAAAGCUAGUAUGAAGAGUUAACAUUGCUGAAAUAUCACAAUUUACCUAUUGUACAAGAAAUGUAGUAUACAGAAGAUGAACUUGUCUGAACAUCAAAUCUGCGACAGUAGGCAACUAGAAGCCCUUAAAAGGAAAAACAAAACAAAACAAAAAGAUUAAUGAAAUAUUUAGCCAUGAUUUUUUUUUCUCCCCAGUCCUCCAGAUCAAAGCAGCAAAGAAAGAAUUUAUGUUAAGACAUCCCAUUACUGUAUGUUAUCUUCUUCGCAUUUAUUUCUGGAAAGCCAAGAACCAGUUUAAGAACUUCUACAGUAAGUCUUGAAAAUCAAAACCAUCAUAAACCAAGUAAGCUUGGUAUUAAAAGGUUUUGGGGUUUUUUUAACAAGCUAAAUACAUUGUGCUAUUUUCAAUUUUUUAAUACAGAAGGGUAACAGCUUAGUUCUAAUACUUUUCUUCAACAGGAUUUUAAUGCUCGCUUUUAACAAUCGCAAUUUUGCCUGCACACUGUUCAUACGAUGGUGCUUUGUGCCUGACUUCAUUUGCUCAAGACUUCAACUAUGGCAAAAUUCAGCUCUUCUAAGAAAGAUGGAAAAAUUUGAUAAUAUAUUUUCCGUUACCUCACCUCCAAUUAGAUAGUCUGGGAUACAAAAAUAGUAUGAAGUCACAGAAGAGUUGCUUUCUGCGAGAUUUCAAUGAGAUUUAAUUAAUAUUAACAACUGGAUUUAUCUGUGGGACUUGUAUUUACACAAUACAGUGCAAUAGAAAAGCAAACCCCUUCACUAUGUAAGUGUUCUAUAACAUACUAAGCUGUCUGAUAUUGUGGCUUUUGUUGUAUUCUGCGUAACAGAUAAAGCCAAACUGCCGCAUCUGAUUUAGUUGUUGAAUAAACUGAAAUGUAAGUCA